CGCAGCCGCGGUAAUUCCAGCUCCAAUAGCGUAUAUUAAAGUUGUUGCAGUUAAAAAGACUCGUAGUUGAAUUUCGGGGUCAGUAGAUUGGUCGUGCCACUGGUAUGUACUGGUCUUACUGGCUCCUCCUUCCUGAUGAACCGUAAUGCCAUUAAUUUGGUGUUGCGGGGAAACUGGACUGUUACUUUGAAAAGAUUAGAGUGUUUAAAGCAGGCUAACGCUUGAAUACAUUAGCAUGGAAUAAUGAAAUAGGACGUUCGAUCUUAUUUUGUUGGUUUCUUAGGAUUGACGUAAUGAUUAAUAGGGAUAGUUGGGGGCAUUAGUAUUCAAUUGUCAGAGGUGAAAUUCUUGGAUUUAUUGAAGACUAACUACUGCGAAAGCAUUUGCCAAGGAUGUUUUCAUUAAUCAAAGAACGAAAGUUAGGGAUCGAAGACGAUCAGAUACGUCGUAGUCUUAACCAUAAAACUAUAGUCCGACUAGGGAUCGGGAUGAUAGUUAAUUUUUUAAAUGUAACUUCUAU
RNAcentral lists this ribosomal RNA (520 nucleotides) under uncultured Glomus. RNAcentral describes it as "SSU rRNA". It matches the Rfam family "Eukaryotic small subunit ribosomal RNA", at positions 569 to 1078 of the family's 1831-position model. The record is from RNAcentral. Lineage: Eukaryota; Fungi; Glomeromycota; Glomeromycetes; Glomerales; Glomeraceae.